UACGAAGGGGGCAAGCGUUGUUCGGAUUUACUGGGCGUAAAGCGUACGUAGGCGGAUGAUUAAGUCAGGGGUGAAAUCCCGGGGCUCAACCUCGGAACUGCCUUUGAUACUGGUCGUCUUGAGUCCGGGAGAGGUGAGUGGAACUCCUAGUGUAGAGGUGAAAUUCGUAGAUAUUAGGAAGAACACCAGUGGCGAAGGCGGCUCACUGGCCCGGAACUGACGCUGAGGUACGAAAGCGUGGGGAGCAAACAGG
Molecule: ribosomal RNA, 253 nt
Filed under: uncultured bacterium
Lineage: Bacteria
Also listed under: 1 other name
Description: partial 16S ribosomal RNA
Rfam family: Bacterial small subunit ribosomal RNA
Source: RNAcentral